This 31-nucleotide non-coding RNA is filed under the name Homo sapiens (human). Lineage: Eukaryota; Metazoa; Chordata; Mammalia; Primates; Hominidae. The record is from RNAcentral.
UGAGGGAAGAUCCUCGCUGCCUCUCCAGCUC